Hyla sarda is the source of this 1157-nucleotide long non-coding RNA. RefSeq lists it as uncharacterized. The record is from RefSeq and is a predicted model, not a curated record. NCBI's taxonomy places the organism in Eukaryota, Metazoa, Chordata, Amphibia, Anura, Hylidae. The transcript is spliced from 3 exons.
UGAUCGGAACUCCCGAGCCUAGGGAUGUUGUGAAGUGUUUGAAUAUGUAUGCACAGGCGCAACAAGACGUCACCAGGAAUAGGUGUAUUUAGGUGUCGCACCUGAGCAGGAAAGGGAGGGUCUGUGGAAGUGCAUUUUUGCGCGAAACAAUUGGCACCCGGCAAAACACACUGGUGUCCGUGCGAUCAGUGGCUUGAUGUCCUGUGAUUUUACCUGCACAUGAAGAAAUAAAGAAACUUCCCUCAGCGAGCAGGAAACCUGAAGAAACCAAUAGUGAAGGCCGUAAUCUAGUCAGCUGUCUGUAAACACAGCCAUGUCCAUAUGUAUGCUGCUUGGAAAAUUCCCUCAACCUCAGUAUCACCUCCCAAACUCUGGGCAAAUUGGCAUUGGUUCUUACUUUUCUAACCUUUUAAGUAGAAUAUGUUAAUAAAUGAGUCAUGUCCAGAGCAACUUUGAAGCCUUGCCUGAAUGCUGAAAUAAGACAGUGAUAAAUCAGCCCCAGUUUUUUCAUCCUGCUAUGUACAUAUGCGGUGUCCCAGUACGGGAUAUGGUCCUUCUGUCCUGUCAGGUUGAGUCCCUGUCUUUCCCCGGGGCUCUCCUGCAGUAUCUCCCACUGUGUAUAUAGGUUUCACAUAAAGGGUUUUCACAUAAUGAGUAAAGGAUCUUUAUUGUUUGUCACAUGAAUAUAUUUGUACUACAUGAUUGUGUUAAAGUCACAUGUUUAAGUCAUAUGAUUGUUACCCAGAGAACCCAGUGACCAGGUGACUUCCCAAGUAACCUAUGGGCUCCUUGCACAGCCCCCCUAUAUAAGAUAGGGAGGAGCUGCAUUCGCUCUCUUUUCUCUUAUGUCUUGUGAUUUUCUUCCUGCUGAGGUCCAGUGCAGUUCAGACGACUCGGUGUGUGUGUCCAGAGCAUUGGAGGCCUCAAGCCUAAAGUCUGCAGCCACCUGUCAGUUGCAAGUAAGCUAAAGUCAUCUAACUGUCAGUUAUCAAGUCAGUCAAGUCAAGUCUACUGUCUAUUCAAGGUGGCCUGCAUUAUAGUCAGUCUACCUACUGCAAGUCCCAGCAAGCCUGCAAGGUCUCUCUGUGUCACUGGCCACCUCUCUGGGAUGCUGGCUGAACUGUAUAGAGUGUACCACCUGUCUAAGCUCAGUAAAA